CUAGAGUGCACUCAGUAAAUGACACCUCUUGCUGCCAUUGCUGUUCUUACUGUUAUUUAUACUCAUAUUACCUUGUAACUCUCAAAAGAAAAUCCUAUACCCUCUAUUUCCAGUGCUUGAGAACAUGCCACUGUUGUCCCUUUGGGCUGGCUACUUCCCUCUUUGAGGCUGCCUUGCCUUUCCAGGGAGGAAUCGCACAAGUUUCCAGGAUCCGAAGAAUGAAUUGGAGUAAAGUGAUUAACUCUUUGCUACGUCUUGAUCAAGUGCCCUUCAGAAUAAAAAGAGAUCAAAUAGUAAGCUAUUCUUAAUUAAAGUGAAUGAAUAGAAUUGAUUUAAUAAAAUUAUAAUGUUGUUUAAUGACUGUGGGAGAUUGUGUUCAGGGCAGAAAACUGACAUUUUGCCUUAAUCGAUGCACAUUUUAUUAAAAUCAAUGAGGUCUAUUACAUAAGGCCUAUUGAAAGUAACUUUAAUAAGGUCCAAUCUAUAAAAAGUAACCAACUCUAAUUCAAUUGAAAUUUAACCUGAUGGUAACUACAAUGUUCAUCCAACAUAUACUUAUUGAGUGCUUACUAUGUACUAGGCACUGAGGAAGUAUCAAUGAAAAGUCGCUUUUUCCUUCCCUUAAGGUACACAGUGUAGGAUAAUUAGCUGACAAUUUUGAGUUAGAUUCAAGUGCACCUCAACUUGUGGUAUUUCACUUACAUUUUAAAGAACCAUUUUUGUUACAUUUUAAAUAAAACUUCAACUUGGAAAAAAAAGGAAUGCUAAUGUCCUUUCCAAUUCUAAUAUAUGACUUGAAUUGUUAAUUGUUAAUAGUGGAAUGGUCUCAGUUUCAUGUUCAAAGGGAGUUUUUGGUAUUAAAAAAAUGGCUACUAUGCAUCGCAGUGUGCAUAGCGUUUUCCUCUCUUAUGAUAAAAAAGAGAUUUUCAGCCAUGUCUGUCUUCCACAUUUGCUUCCAGAAGGCUCAGAUGCCCACCUCCAGGAGGCAGGUGGGGUGGUACAGCCUGCUCUUAGUCUCAUGCUUUCUUCUUGAUCUUGGCUGCCCAUUAAAACUUCUGUUUCCCUGAUCCCGAUUCUUGGUUCUUAUUGAUAUUGAAUUUCACUCUAUUACAUUUGCCUUUAAUGUAAGAUGCUUUGAAACUGUUCAGGAACAAAGUGAAUUAUAACUUUUUUUAAAAAAAGUUUUUAACUAUUUGAGGGCUAAAACAAUAUAGUCCCUAUUUCCCUAGGGUACUUUGCUCAGCUUGUGUGAUGUAACAGAUAAGCAUGAAAUUCUUCUUAUUUUAAAUUCAGCAGAUAACUUUAUUCAUUAACUCAAAGAAUAUAUAUUGAGCACCUCCUAUGUUCCAGGAGUGCUUAGUGCUCAAGUUGUAAAUAUGAGUUAGACUCAAGUUGUUCAGGGUAGGCUAAUUACUAUAACAACAAAAACAAAAACAAAUCUCAGAGGUCAAAUAUAACCAAAGCUCAUUGCUCACAGUCCUAAGCUGGAGGUGUCUAUGUUUCAUUAUGCUUAGUCCUCAAAGUGGCCCUAGGUAUCAAAAUCCAGUUGAAAGAUGGGGAUGAAAAAAAGUGUGGAGGCUCCCGUGAGAAGGAGUUUUAGGGCCAGCUCUGAAAGGCCAGCCACUUCCACCCACAUUCCAAAGGCCAGAGUUUGAUCCCAAAGUUGCACCUAACUUCAGGUAUUUGUUGACAGGGGCUAGGAAAUGUCUUACUGGAUGACCAGGAAAAGAAAGAAGAGGGGCUUGAUGAGAUUCAGGCACUAUAUCUCUCGUGGUCCAACCCUCUGAGCACCUUGAAGCAUGCUCACUCCCUCCUGCUGGAGACAAUGCAAAGACUCAGGCAGGCCCUGUAUCCAGCCCAGGCGCAGGCUCUCCAGAUGCUGUGUGGCUUCUUACGGUGGAGAGUCACUUGCCCUCCACAGAUACAUGCACACUUAAUAAGCAAUGGUGGACCAGGGUCAGGAAAAUGACAAUAAAAAUUCCUAGUCUGAACAUAAAAGAAUGGAGGGCACACAGAAGUUACUGACCCAGUUAUAAGACCCAGCUGACUCACAGGGCAGGGCAGUUCCUUGACUAGGCUUUGAUAUUGUCUUGUGAUAGGAAUACUUCUGUCCAUCUCCCACUAUUCUCCUUGUUAUAUCUGAAAAGGGUUAAGGAGGUAUGUCUUCCUUGGGAACUGGUCCACUUCCCCAUCCUUCUUGCUGCACCAAAUGUAGUGUCCUAGAGAUCAAACAUGCAAAGUGGUCUUUAACUGGGGGAAGGAGAUUGUUUUCAUUUUGUUUUGUAUUUUCCAGGAUUACACAAUUUUGUUGGAAAUAAAAUUUCUUCAAAAACGCAUUUAGAUUCUGAUCUAUUUGAUUCUAGUUUACUCAUGUACCUCUCACUAUGCCCAAAGUUCUUUCAGAGAUGUUUUAAAUCCUGUCUAUCUCAGUCAUCCCAGGAUGCUAUAAUAAAUACCAUAGACAAGGCAGUUUAAGCAACAAACAUUUGCUAACAUUUGCUUCUCACAGUUCUGGAGGCUGGGAAGUUCAAUAUCAAGAU
This 2540-nucleotide long non-coding RNA is filed under the name Homo sapiens (human). RNAcentral describes it as "HSALNT0039100". The record is from RNAcentral. Lineage: Eukaryota; Metazoa; Chordata; Mammalia; Primates; Hominidae.